RNAcentral lists this ribosomal RNA (834 nucleotides) under Acinetobacter baumannii. Its description in RNAcentral is "bacterial SSU rRNA". It matches the Rfam family "Bacterial small subunit ribosomal RNA", at positions 1 to 827 of the family's 1533-position model. The record is from RNAcentral. Lineage: Bacteria; Pseudomonadati; Pseudomonadota; Gammaproteobacteria; Moraxellales; Moraxellaceae.
UUUAACUGAAGAGUUUGAUCAUGGCUCAGAUUGAACGCUGGCGGCAGGCUUAACACAUGCAAGUCGAGCGGGGGAAGGUAGCUUGCUACUGGACCUAGCGGCGGACGGGUGAGUAAUGCUUAGGAAUCUGCCUAUUAGUGGGGGACAACAUCUCGAAAGGGAUGCUAAUACCGCAUACGUCCUACGGGAGAAAGCAGGGGAUCUUCGGACCUUGCGCUAAUAGAUGAGCCUAAGUCGGAUUAGCUAGUUGGUGGGGUAAAGGCCUACCAAGGCGACGAUCUGUAGCGGGUCUGAGAGGAUGAUCCGCCACACUGGGACUGAGACACGGCCCAGACUCCUACGGGAGGCAGCAGUGGGGAAUAUUGGACAAUGGGGGGAACCCUGAUCCAGCCAUGCCGCGUGUGUGAAGAAGGCCUUAUGGUUGUAAAGCACUUUAAGCGAGGAGGAGGCUACUUUAGUUAAUACCUAGAGAUAGUGGACGUUACUCGCAGAAUAAGCACCGGCUAACUCUGUGCCAGCAGCCGCGGUAAUACAGAGGGUGCGAGCGUUAAUCGGAUUUACUGGGCGUAAAGCGUGCGUAGGCGGCUUAUUAAGUCGGAUGUGAAAUCCCCGAGCUUAACUUGGGAAUUGCAUUCGAUACUGGUGAGCUAGAGUAUGGGAGAGGAUGGUAGAAUUCCAGGUGUAGCGGUGAAAUGCGUAGAGAUCUGGAGGAAUACCGAUGGCGAAGGCAGCCAUCUGGCCUAAUACUGACGCUGAGGUACGAAAGCAUGGGGAGCAAACAGGAUUAGAUACCCUGGUAGUCCAUGCCGUAAACGAUGUCUACUAGCCGUUGGG